Molecule: long non-coding RNA, 1106 nt
Filed under: Nicotiana benthamiana
Lineage: Eukaryota; Viridiplantae; Streptophyta; Magnoliopsida; Solanales; Solanaceae
Description: long non-coding RNA (NBEN_LNC028158)
Source: RNAcentral
ACAACAUCUUUUUAACAGAUUUGGUACAAUUGUCUGUCCUUUUUACCUAAAUUCAGCAUUUUCAUACUAAAAAUAGGGACAGUUAUAUAAUACUAGAAUCUUCCGAUAUUUUUCUCAUUUUAAAUUCCCAAUUUACCCUUUUAAGUUAUGUUUAUUGCAACUUCAACGCCCCUAAUUUCUAUUUGUUAUCAACUAAGGUUUCCACUGAAUUCUGAAUAGCAACCAAGAACACAGAUCAAAUCAGACCUCAUACGAAGCAAAUCAAGACUGCACGACACGUCAUGUGAUUACAACCUUAGAGUUAAUUAAAUAAUAACUUGCAAUCUAAAUUAACUAACAUGCAUUUAAGUAGUCUAAAUACAGAAAAUAAUUUUGUUAGGUUGAUUCAAUUAGACUAAAUAAAAUGUGAUUAACUAAAUAGUAAUGUGGUUAACUGAAGAAUUAUAAAACUAGUUUAAACUAGUCUUAUCUAAUUAAACACACAGUAACAAGGAAUCAAGGCAACAAAAAUAGAUAAAAACAAACCCUAAAUAUAAAAAAUAAAAAAGAAUAAACAGAGACAAAGGGAAAAGAACAAGGUAUUGAUUUUUGCUGGAAGAUGCAUAAGUGACUGAGGCAAAUCAGAGCUUUGUUGGCCAAUAUAGAGUUUUUCUGAAUCCGGCGAGCCUUUAAGAGAACCAAAACUGAAGUUAAUCGAUUGUUCUUAACAAAAAACAAUCGAUUAGCAUAAACAUUGGCUCAAAUCAAGCCUUAGAAACCAUAGAAAUCAAAAGGGAGAAAGGGUUAGGGUUUUGGUUUUCUUUUGAAAUUUCAGAUCUAAAACUUGGAAAAAUCGGGUGAUUAUUUGAGGAAAUUGGUGGGGGAAUAGUGAUGAGGGGAGGCUGGGAUUGUGGGGUUAUAUUUUAGGGGAGCUUGGAGACGGGCCGCCACCAUGAGGCGAUAUCAGGUGGCGGCAAGAAGCGGAGGUGAGAGAGACGACUUGGUGAAGGGGAAAGUGAAUCAGUUCUCUAGGGUUUGGGGGGUUCGACAUUUUUAAGGGAAAUGGAGAUCAAUGUGAGCCAUUGGAUCAAAAUGAUCCAACGUCUAGGAUUAAAGGGAGGGGAAAC